RNAcentral lists this transfer RNA (72 nucleotides) under Rhopalaea idoneta. Its description in RNAcentral is "transfer RNA-Gln". The record is from RNAcentral. Lineage: Eukaryota; Metazoa; Chordata; Ascidiacea; Aplousobranchia; Diazonidae.
UUUUAAGUAAUUUAUGUGUGUAAAAUUCUCGCUUUUGAUGUGUGGUAAGAAAUUCGGUAGUUUCCUUCCUAU